CUCUCAGUCCGGCUCGCGCUUUUGGAAUAAUAGUAAUAAAAUUUAAAAAAUAAAGCGGAAAAAAGCCCCGCGGAGCCCUGCACGGGUCCCUGCCGCUGGGGUGGGGGAGGGCGCGCAGGGAGAACUCAGUGUCUCAGCCCGCGACGAGCCCCGGCCCCAGCGCUCCGGGGGUGCGACCUUGUUGCUGCUAUUUUCCUAAAUCCUCCCCCGGCCGCGCUCGGCGCCCCCCUCCCUCCCUCGUUCCCUCCCUCCCUCUCCGCCCGCUCGCCCCCGGCCGCCUCUGUCCCUUGCUCGCCCCGCCGCUGCCCGGGGAGGGCGGCAAGUCCCUGUUCAGGCUGGCCGCGGGGGCCGGGGGGCGGCCGGCCGGACGCGGUGCGGGAGCGGAGCUGGAGCUGGGCUGGCGGGCGGGUGGGCUCCCCGCGGCCGGCCGCGCUCGCUGCCGCCUUCCCCUGCACGCACGCACUUCGCGGAACAAGGAACAGGCAUUUGUGACACUUCAUGUUCCACACCCCGACCAGUGUGUGAGGAACAAUGUCUCCAGGCACUUUCUGCCCUGCACGGGUGGGUCCAUGCCACCAGAAGAACUCAGAGGAUUGUACAUCCAGACAUAGGAAGAGAAGUUGUCUUCAGUGGAAGAAGGAAUAAGGGUGAAGGUCCUCAAGAUCCUGUGAAAUAGUCCUGGCAGAAGCACCCGGCUGCACACCUGGAGCAGGCCAUGGGCAGCAGGAAGAGUGUAGCACCCUGACCAGGCACCUGCACUCCAGUCAAGCACAGGGAUGUCGGAUGCAGCAUGCAGGGGCCUGUGUGGGGGCUCUGUUUUCCUGAUAACAAACUUCACUUGGAACCAUCUUCCUCUUUUUUUCCCCACACACAUCAAAAGAAACCAAACCAACUCAGAAAUCUGAGUUUGUCAUUUGAUCAAGUGAAUUCAGCAUAGAACUGUAACACAGCAUUGCUUUGAAUGGAUGUUUAGUUGUGAUUUUCUGGCUUCUUAAGGUUUGACAGAAACUAUUGGUUUUAUUAAUGUUGUAAUAAAGGUUUAUUGUUCCAUCCUACUGUAUGACUGCAGAUUGCCACCACAGACUGGACAUACAGUAAAAAAUGUUUCUUAUAACGGCACUAUAAUCAAGAUAUACUUCCUCUACAUCACUGCACUAAGUAUCAAAUUGGGGGUUCAGAAAGGCUAACUUGGGAUAAGGAUACAUGGCUAAAGAGCCCGUGGCCCUAGUUCUGAUCCCAAUAAAAAAUAGAUAUAGCUCCCAUCAACAGAGAUUCAUGGCCUCAAAACCCAAUGUGAUAUACCAGUUUCUAGAAUAAAAUAAGUAGGGUGAAAAGGGGGAAAAAAAACCCAGAAUCAUGGUUGAUUUGGGCAGCAUGACCCUAGAUUCAUAUCCGUUCAGCAUCAGAGCUGGAUCAGGAACUGAAUUACUUCUGUAUCCUCGUCUUAUUGGAGAGGCUUAAUCCCCAGGCUAUCAAAUUGUUUCUGUUCUCUCACUGGCCCAAUGAAUAUUUAAUUAUUCUUACAAAGCAGAACAGCUUCAGCAGGACAGAUUCUCAUCCCAGAAUGUGCCAGCGGUUGGGCACUCUCAGAGGAGUUCAGAGACCCAAAUUCAAAUCCCGAUGCAAUCAGGCAAAGAGGGGAUUUCAGCUUUAGCUUUAUACAUUCCACUAGGCAAGUAAUUCCCAAGCCCUGUUGUCACCCCCAACCCCUUUGCCAUCCAGCCCUCUGCCCACACUUCUAUACUCUUUCAAGGCUACAACUAAAAUGAUC
Molecule: long non-coding RNA, 1771 nt
Organism: Melopsittacus undulatus (budgerigar)
Lineage: Eukaryota; Metazoa; Chordata; Aves; Psittaciformes; Psittaculidae
Source: Ensembl